GACGAACGCUGGCGGCGUGCUUAACACAUGCAAGUCGAACGAUGAAGAAGAGAAACGCGAACUUCGGUUCAAAUUUCACUUCGGAUUAGUGGCAGACGGGUGAGUAACGCGUGAGCAACCUACCUCUUACAAAGGGAUAGCCUCGGGAAACCGUGAUUAAUACCAUAUGACACAUUCAUAAGGCAUCUUAAGAAUGUUAAAGCUACGGCGGUAAGAGAUGGGCUCGCGUCCCAUUAGCUAGCUGGUGAGGUAACGGCCCACCAAGGCGACGAUGGGUAACCGGCCUGAGAGGGUGAACGGUCACAUUGGAACUGAGACACGGUCCAAACUCCUACGGGAGGCAGCAGUGGGGAAUAUUGCACAAUGGAGGGAACUCUGAUGCAGCGACGCCGCGUGAGCGAUGAAGGAAUUCGUUUCGUAAAGCUCUGUUCUAUGGGAAGAAAAGGACUGUACCAUAGGAGAAAGCCCCGGCUAAAUACGUG
This 482-nucleotide ribosomal RNA is filed under the name uncultured bacterium. RNAcentral's name for it is "partial 16S ribosomal RNA". It matches the Rfam family "Bacterial small subunit ribosomal RNA", at positions 28 to 507 of the family's 1533-position model. The record is from RNAcentral.